CAGCCGCCACGGUAAUACGUAGGUGGCAAGCGUUGUCCGGAAUUAUUGGGCGUAAAGGGCUCGCAGGCGGUUUCUUAAGUCUGAUGUGAAAGCCCCCGGCUCAACCGGGGAGGGUCAUUGGAAACUGGGAAACUUGAGUGCAGAAGAGGAGAGUGGGAUUCCACGUGUAGCGGUGAAAUGCGUAGAGAUGUGGAGGAACACCAGUGGCGAAGGCGACUCUCUGGUCUGUAACUGACGCUGAGGAGCGAAAGCGUGGGGAGCGAACAGGAUUAGAUACCCCUGUAGUCCCUGUCUCUUAUAC
RNAcentral lists this ribosomal RNA (301 nucleotides) under uncultured bacterium. RNAcentral describes it as "partial 16S ribosomal RNA". It matches the Rfam family "Bacterial small subunit ribosomal RNA", at positions 509 to 807 of the family's 1533-position model. The record is from RNAcentral.